GUCUCUACGAUGCAGUGGUAGCACGCGUCCCUGGUAUGGUGGAACGCGGGUUCAACUCCCGUUUGAGGUA
Molecule: non-coding RNA, 70 nt
Organism: Parelaphostrongylus tenuis
Lineage: Eukaryota; Metazoa; Nematoda; Chromadorea; Rhabditida; Metastrongylidae
Source: the annotation of a GenBank genome assembly